UCCAAUAGAGCCCAGUGGUUAGGGCACUCACCUAGGACAUGGAAGAUCUGGGUUCAACUCCUCAUUUUGGAG
Molecule: transfer RNA, 72 nt
Filed under: Chelonia mydas (Green sea turtle)
Lineage: Eukaryota; Metazoa; Chordata; Testudines; Cheloniidae
Rfam family: tRNA
About the family: Transfer RNA (tRNA) molecules are approximately 80 nucleotides in length. Their secondary structure includes four short double-helical elements and three loops (D, anti-codon, and T loops).
Source: Rfam by way of RNAcentral